UGAUGAUGAAGUUGUUUAUGAAAUAUAAGCAACCAUCCUACUUAUGCAUGCAUGGAUGUCUAUCAUUAGACAAUGAUGAUGAUGAUGAUGAUGGUGGUAGUGUUUAAUUUUUGGCAAGUCCAGCAGCCAUGCAGAGACUCCCUGGAGCUAUGUAGGUUAUACAGUCCUCAGAUAUGCAACGACAAGAGGCAACCAAACUGCAACCAUUGGAUCUAAAGAGUCUGCUAGUGUUGCAUGACAAAGAAACUUUUUAAUGGUUUUUCCAGAGUUUGAUAUUUUUAUUUACAUUGUCUUCAUAAAAACUUGUAUAAUGUUACUUUCUGUAUUAGUUUCUGAUUACUGGUCUGUCAGUUUGUUUGGUUAACAACUGGAAUCCUUGGAAACCAUAAUGGUCUGUGUCAGCAACAAUUGUAAUAAAAUCAGAGAGAAUGUCUUGGUGUCAAUAAAUCUGGUUGCUAUGAGAAAUGAAACGGUUUCAGACAUCUUGGACAUAGGUUCUUCAAUAGAACAGCCCGCCUAUUAUUUGAUUGAAAAAGUAACGCCUUAAGUAUGUGGAUCUUCUCUGCCAAGUUAAUAUAUAUAUCAUGAUAUAUCAUAAAUAUCUCAU
This is a long non-coding RNA of Octopus sinensis (East Asian common octopus), 607 nucleotides long. RefSeq lists it as uncharacterized. The transcript is spliced from 3 exons. Lineage: Eukaryota; Metazoa; Mollusca; Cephalopoda; Octopoda; Octopodidae. The record is from RefSeq and is a predicted model, not a curated record.